CGGGUUCUGCCCUUCUCGUGACAGGUAGCAUUCCGGUGGCCUUAAACAUUUCCGAGGGGGCUGGCUCUGUUCAGGUCCUGGCCUGAUUAACUGGCACCCACCUGUACAAACAGGUCCUCGGGAAUCGAACCGCACGGUCGAAACCUGGUGGUUCCCGC
RNAcentral lists this unclassified non-coding RNA (158 nucleotides) under Ruegeria marina. RNAcentral describes it as "6S / SsrS RNA". Lineage: Bacteria; Pseudomonadati; Pseudomonadota; Alphaproteobacteria; Rhodobacterales; Roseobacteraceae. The record is from RNAcentral.